GACGAACGCUGGCGGCGUGCCUAAUACAUGCAAGUAGAACGCACAGUUUAUACCGUAGCUUGCUACACCAUAGACUGUGAGUUGCGAACGGGUGAGUAACGCGUAGGUAACCUGCCUGGUAGCGGGGGAUAACUAUUGGAAACGAUAGCUAAUACCGCAUAAUAUUAAUUAUUGCAUGAUAAUUAAUUGAAAGGUGCAAUUGCACCACUACCAGAUGGACCUGCGUUGUAUUAGCUAGUAGGUGAGGUAACGGCUCACCUAGGCGACGAUACAUAGCCGACCUGAGAGGGUGAUCGGCCACACUGGGACUGAGACACGGCCCAGACUCCUACGGGAAGCAGCAGUAGGGAAUCUUCGGCAAUGGACGAAAGUAUGACCGAGAAAAGCCGCGUGAGUGAAGAAGGUUUUCGGAUCGUAAAGCUCUGUUGUAAGAGAAGAACGGGUGUGAGAGUGGAAAGUUCACACUGUGUCGGUAUCUUACCAGAAAGGGACGGCUAACUACGUG
RNAcentral lists this ribosomal RNA (505 nucleotides) under uncultured bacterium. Its description in RNAcentral is "partial 16S ribosomal RNA". It matches the Rfam family "Bacterial small subunit ribosomal RNA", at positions 28 to 507 of the family's 1533-position model. The record is from RNAcentral.